RNAcentral lists this long non-coding RNA (578 nucleotides) under Pan troglodytes (chimpanzee). Its description in RNAcentral is "long non-coding RNA NONPTRT015383". Lineage: Eukaryota; Metazoa; Chordata; Mammalia; Primates; Hominidae. The record is from RNAcentral.
AGAGCAAUGUGAGUGGUGGUUAUGGAGGUGGUUAUGGAGGUCAGAGCAGUGUGACUGUUGGUUAUGGAGGUGGUUAUGGUGGUUAGACCAGCUGAGUGUUGGUUAUGGAGGUGGUUAUGGUGAUCAGAGCAGUGUGAGUGGUGGUUGUGGAGGUGGUUAUGGUGAUCAGAGCAAUGUGAGUGGUGGUUAUGGAGGUGGUUACGGUGAUCAGAGCAAUGUGAGUGGUGGUUGUGGAGGCGGUUAUGGAGGUCAGAGCAGCUGAGUGGUGGUUAUAGAGGUCAGAGCAGUAUGAGUGGUGGUUAUGGUGGUCAGAGCAGUGUGACUGGUGGUUAUGGAGGUGGUUAGGGUGAUCAGAGCAGUAUGAGGGGAUAUGACCACGUUCUGGAGGAAAACUCCAGUGACUGUCAGUCAAACCUUGGUUAGGUAGAGAAGGAGCACUAAAGAGCUACUCCAGAUAUAAAAGCAGUGCAUUUAUGGGAGUUGAAUAGAAUGGGAGGGAUGUCUAGUAUAUCCAGUAUAAUGGGUAAAUGGGAAAUAUAAUUUAUUCUGAUCACUCUUGGUCAGCUUCUCUGUCGUCU